This is a non-coding RNA of Mycena leptocephala, 90 nucleotides long. The record is from the annotation of a GenBank genome assembly. Lineage: Eukaryota; Fungi; Basidiomycota; Agaricomycetes; Agaricales; Mycenaceae.
GGCUCGGUGGCGGAUGGUCCGCACCUGUAUUCAAUAUUUGGUGAUAAUAUCCUGAGGCAGGAAAUGCCCGUUCGACUCGGGCCCGAGUCA